UACGAAGGGGGCUAGCGUUGCUCGGAAUCACUGGGCGUAAAGGGUGCGUAGGCGGGUCUUUAAGUCAGGGGUGAAAUCCUGGAGCUCAACUCCAGAACUGCCUUUGAUACUGAAGAUCUUGAGUGCGGGAGAGGUGAGUGGAACUGCGAGUGUAGAGGUGAAAUUCGUAGAUAUUCGGAAGAACGCCAGUGGCGAAGGCGGCUCACUGGACCGGUAUUGACGCUGAGGUGCGAAAGCGUGGGGAGCAAACAGG
RNAcentral lists this ribosomal RNA (253 nucleotides) under uncultured bacterium. Its description in RNAcentral is "partial 16S ribosomal RNA". It matches the Rfam family "Bacterial small subunit ribosomal RNA", at positions 524 to 776 of the family's 1533-position model. The record is from RNAcentral.